Molecule: small nuclear RNA, 141 nt
Organism: Manis pentadactyla (Chinese pangolin)
Lineage: Eukaryota; Metazoa; Chordata; Mammalia; Pholidota; Manidae
Product: U4 spliceosomal RNA
Exons: 1
Source: RefSeq, a predicted model, not a curated record
AGCUUUGCGCAGUGGAAGUAUCAUGGCCAAUGAGGUUUAUCUGAGGCUUGAUUAUUGCUAAUUGAAAACAAAGUCCAGCCUAAGUUCAAUUUGGAAACUUAGAAGCUGAACACAGAAGCCAUAUUUUAUAAUACAUAUGUA